UACGUAGGGACCGAGCGUUGUCCGGAAUCAUUGGGCGUAAAGAGCGCGUAGGCGGCUAUUUAAGUCCUGCGUGAAAUCCUGCGGCUCAACCGCAGACGGUCGUGGGAAACUGGAUGGCUAGAGUGCGGGAGAGGAGAGUGGAAUUCCCGGUGUAGCGGUGAAAUGCGCAGAUAUCGGGAAGAACACCCGUGGCGAAGGCGGCUCUCUGGAACGCAACUGACGCUGAGACGCGAAAGCGUGGGGAGCAAACAGG
This 253-nucleotide ribosomal RNA is filed under the name uncultured bacterium. RNAcentral describes it as "partial 16S ribosomal RNA". It matches the Rfam family "Bacterial small subunit ribosomal RNA", at positions 524 to 776 of the family's 1533-position model. The record is from RNAcentral.